GCAUAUCAAUAAGCGGAGGAAAAGAAACCAACAGGGAUUGCCCUAGUAACGGCGAGUGAAGCGGCAACAGCUCAAAUUUGAAAUCUGGCUCUCGGGCCCGAGUUGUAAUUUGUAGAGGAUACUUUUGAUGCGGUGCCUUCCGAGUUCCCUGGAACGGGACGCCAUAGAGGGUGAGAGCCCCGUCUGGUUGGAUGCCAAAUCUCUGUAAAGUUCCUUCGACGAGUCGAGUAGUUUGGGAAUGCUGCUCUAAAUGGGAGGUAUAUGUCUUCUAAAGCUAAAUACCGGCCAGAGACCGAUAGCGCACAAGUAGAGUGAUCGAAAGAUGAAAAGCACUUUGAAAAGAGAGUUAAAAAGUACGUGAAAUUGUUGAAAGGGAAGCGUUUAUGACCAGACUUGGGCUUGGUUAAUCAUCUGGGGUUCUCCCCAGUGCACUUUUCCAGUCCAGGCCAGCAUCAGUUUUCGCCGGGGGAUAAAGACUUCGGGAAUGUGGCUCUCUCCGGGGAGUGUUAUAGCCCGUUGUGUAAUACCCUGGCGGGGACUGAGGUUCGCGCAUCUGCAAGGAUGCUGGCGUAAUGGUCAUCAACGACCCGUCUUGAAACACGGACCAAGGAGUCGUCUUCGUAUGCGAGUGUUCGGGUGUCAAACCCCUACGCGUAAUGAAAGUGAACGCAGGUGAGAGCUUCGGCGCAUCAUCGACCGAUCCUGAUGUUCUCGGAUGGAUUUGAGUAAGAGCAUACGGGGCCGGACCCGAAAGAAGGUGAACUAUGCCUGUAUAGGGUGAAGCCAGAGGAAACUCUGGUGGAGGCUCGCAGCGGUUCUGACGUGCAAAUCGAUCGUCAAAUAUGGGCAUGGGGGCGAAAGACUAAUCGAACCUUCUAGUAGCUGGUUUCCGC
RNAcentral lists this ribosomal RNA (893 nucleotides) under Fusarium thapsinum. Its description in RNAcentral is "LSU rRNA". It matches the Rfam family "Eukaryotic large subunit ribosomal RNA", at positions 38 to 961 of the family's 3401-position model. The record is from RNAcentral. Lineage: Eukaryota; Fungi; Ascomycota; Sordariomycetes; Hypocreales; Nectriaceae.